UGCAUGUCUAAGUACAUGCCGUAUUAAGGCGAAACCGCGAAUGGCUCAUUAAAUCAGUCAUGGUUCCUUGGAUCGUACCUUACUACUUGGAUAACUGUGGCAAUUCUAGAGCUAAUACAUGCAGCAGAGCUCCGACCUUCGGGGACGAGCGCUUUUAUUAGACCAAAACCAAUCGGACCUCGUGUCCGUCCUUUGUGGUGACUCUGUAUAACUUUGGGCUGAUCGCACGGGCCUGUCCCGGCGACGUAUCUUUCAAGUGUCUGCCUUAUCAACUUUCGAUGGUAGGUUACGCGCCUACCAUGGUCGUAACGGGUAACGGGGAAUCAGGGUUCGAUUCCGGAGAGGGAGCCUGAGAAACGGCUACCACAUCCAAGGAAGGCCGCGCAAAUUACCCACUCCCAGAACGGGGAGGUAGUGACGAAAAAUAACAAUACGGGACUCUUUUGAGACCCCGUAAUUGGAAUGAGUACACUCUAAAUCCUUUAACGAGGAUCCAUUGGAGGGUAAGUCUGGUGCCAGCAACCGCGGUAAUUCCAGCUCCAAUAGCGUAUAUUAAAGUUGUUGCGGUUAAAAAGCUCGUAGUUGGAUCUCAGUUCCAGACGGGUGGUCCGCCUACCGGUGGUUACUGCCUGUUCUGAACAGUCAGCCGGUUUCUCUUGAUGAUCUUCACCGGUUGUCUUGGGUGACCGGCAAGUUUACUUUGAAAAAAUUAGAGUGCUCAAAGCAGGCGUGACGCCUGAAUAAUGGUGCAUGGAAUAAUGGAAUAGGACCUCGGUUCUAUUUUGUUGGUUUUCGGAACACGAGGUAAUGAUUAAGAGGGACAGACGGGGGCAUUCGUAUUGCGACGCUAGAGGUGAAA
Molecule: ribosomal RNA, 859 nt
Filed under: Eurocoelotes inermis
Lineage: Eukaryota; Metazoa; Arthropoda; Arachnida; Araneae; Amaurobiidae
Description: SSU rRNA
Rfam family: Eukaryotic small subunit ribosomal RNA
Source: RNAcentral